RNAcentral lists this ribosomal RNA (301 nucleotides) under uncultured bacterium. Its description in RNAcentral is "partial 16S ribosomal RNA". It matches the Rfam family "Bacterial small subunit ribosomal RNA", at positions 509 to 807 of the family's 1533-position model. The record is from RNAcentral.
CAGCAGCCACGGGAAUACGUAGGGUGCGAGCGUUAAUCGGAAUUACUGGGCGUAAAGCGUGCGCAGGCGGUUAUGUAAGACAGUUGUGAAAUCCCCGGGCUCAACCUGGGAACUGCAUCUGUGACUGCGUAGCUAGAGUACGGUAGAGGGGGAUGGAAUUCCGCGUGUAGCAGUGAAAUGCGUAGAUAUGCGGAGGAACACCGAUGGCGAAGGCAAUCCCCUGGACCUGUACUGACGCUCAUGCACGAAAGCGUGGGGAGCAAACAGGAUUAGAUACCCCAGUAGUCCCUGUCUCUUAUAC